This 496-nucleotide ribosomal RNA is filed under the name uncultured bacterium. Its description in RNAcentral is "partial 16S ribosomal RNA". It matches the Rfam family "Bacterial small subunit ribosomal RNA", at positions 29 to 507 of the family's 1533-position model. The record is from RNAcentral.
AUGAACGCUGGCGGCGUGCCUAAUACAUGCCAGUCGAGCGAACAGAUGAGGAGCUUGCUCCUCUGACGUUAGCGGCGGACGGGUGAGUAACACGUGGAUAACCUACCUAUAAGACUGGGAUAACUUCGGGAAACCGGAGCUAAUACCGGAUAAUAUAUUGAACCGCAUGGUUCAAUAGUGAAAGACGGUUUUGCUGUCACUUAUAGAUGGAUCCGCGCCGCAUUAGCUAGUUGGUAAGGUAACGGCUUACCAAGGCAACGAUGCGUAGCCGACCUGAGAGGGUGAACGGCCACACUGGAACUGAGACACGGUCCAGACUCCUACGGGAGGCAGCAGUAGGGAAUCUUCCGCAAUGGGCGAAAGCCUGACGGAGCAACGCCGCGUGAGUGAUGAAGGUCUUCGGAUCGUAAAACUCUGUUAUUAGGGAAGAACAAAUGUGUAAGUAACUAUGCACGUCUUGACGGUACCUAAUCAGAAAGCCACGGCUAACUACGUG